Non-coding RNA from Oryza nivara, 208 nucleotides. NCBI's taxonomy places the organism in Eukaryota, Viridiplantae, Streptophyta, Magnoliopsida, Poales, Poaceae. The record is from Rfam.
AUUAAGCAUAGUCACGAGUUUCUGUGUCUAAAUUUGAUCUUCUGUUUUAUUUUAAAAAAAAGUAUGAUUCGUAUUUUUAUUAUUAUUAGAUGAUAAAACAUAAAUAUAUUAUUUUAUGCGUGACUUGUGUUUUUAAAUAUUUUUAGAAAUUUUUUAAAAUAAAACGAAUAAUUAAAGCUAGACACGAAAACUCAUGGUUGUGUUUAAA